AGUCGAGCGCGCCCUUCGGGGUGAGCGGCGGACGGGUGAGUAACGCGUGGGAAUAUGCCCUUCUCUAAGGAAUAGCCUCUGGAAACGGAGAGUAAUACCUUAUACGCCCUUUGGGGGAAAGAUUUAUCGGAGAAGGAUUAGCCCGCGUUAGAUUAGGUAGUUGGUGGGGUAAUGGCCUACCAAGCCUACGAUCUAUAGCUGGUUUGAGAGGAUGAUCAGCCACACUGGGACUGAGACACGGCCCAGACUCCUACGGGAGGCAGCAGUAGGGAAUCUUAGACAAUGGGGGCAACCCUGAUCUAGCCAUGCCGCGUGUGUGAUGAAGGCCUUAGGGUCGUAAAGCACUUUCGCCAGAGAUGAUAAUGACAGUAUCUGGUAAAGAAACCCCGGCUAACUCCGUGCCAGCAGCCGCGGUAAUACGGAGGGGGUUAGCGUUGUUCGGAAUUACUGGGCGUAAAGCGCACGUAGGCGGAUUAGUAAGUUAGAGGUGAAAUCCCAGGGCUCAACCCUGGAACUGCCUUUAAUACUGCUAGUCUUGAGUUCGAGAGAGGUAAGUGGAAUUCCGAGUGUAGAGGUGAAAUUCGUAGAUAUUCGGAGGAACACCAGUGGCGAAGGCGGCUUACUGGCUCGAUACUGACGCUGAGGUGCGAAAGUGUGGGGAGCAAACAGGAUUAGAUACCCUGGUAGUCCACACCGUAAACGAUGAAUGCCAGACGUCAGCAAGUAUACUUGUUGGUGUCACACCUAACGGAUUAAGCAUUCCGCCUGGGGAGUACGGUCGCAAGAUUAAAACUCAAAG
Molecule: ribosomal RNA, 799 nt
Filed under: Rhodobacteraceae bacterium Hel1_33_72
Lineage: Bacteria; Pseudomonadati; Pseudomonadota; Alphaproteobacteria; Rhodobacterales; Paracoccaceae
Description: bacterial SSU rRNA
Rfam family: Bacterial small subunit ribosomal RNA
Source: RNAcentral